UUUUUUUUUUUUUUUUUUUUAUUGGGAAAGCAAGAAUCAAUGUUGCUUAAUUAUGUAACUAGUACUGGUUAGGGUUGGAGAAAGCUGAUACAAGUGUUCGGUUUAUAGGCAAAUUUGUGAAUUGGGUCUUGGCGGAACUUAUCUUUCAUAUUUUAGUUUUAUUCUUUUUUAUUUUCUUGAGAAGAUAUUUCUACUGGUAUUCCCUUCUUUUUCGUUAUUCUUGGGACUAUUAGUGAUUUAAAUCUUUAAUAUUACGUAAAAAUGUAUGUGCUUCUUUAAAUGUUGGUGAGAUAUACAGAUUUUGCAGUUAAAAUUUUGAUUUUGAUUUUUUUUUGGGUUAAAGAUGCAGUAGAAAUCAAAGAACAAUCCUAUUUAUGGGACAAAGCAGAAAAUGGAAAAGGAGACAUGAAAAAAGGAACCAGGGGGGGGGUGGGGCGGGAGGGUGGAAGGUAACUGUAGAUGAUCUGCUUCGAUAAAAGAAAAUAUACCCUCGAAAUAGGAUUAGGUCGUUUUUAUGAAUUUCCAGUGAAACCAACACUUGUGCAUUCCCCCUGUUGUUUAUUUGUCUGACAUAAACUAGAGGUGUCUUUUGAUUCUGCAAUUUUCUUCAUUUAUUAUUCACGCUCUUUGUUUCCUGUAAUGGUCCUUUAUUUGCAUGCCCAAGGACGAGCACUAGGCAUUAAAUGGGCAAUUGAUACUUCAGAAAAUGUAUAGUCCUAAGACCUGAGAGAUCCUGUAGAUUAUAGGGCUUGUUUGGAAGUCCAAGUUUUUACCAAGUUUUUAUUAUACUAGUUUUUUAACAACUUGUGCUACAGGAACCUCAAAAACUUAUCAAAAUUUUUUAACCUACACACUUAAAAUAUCCAAAACACAAAAAAAAAACUCCCUUCCCCUUUUCUUCUUCUUCCUCCCCCACCACUACCUCCGUCAACUGCUCCGUCACCGGCCACCACCUCCGCCACCGGUUCCAGUGCCGAUCACCUUUUCCGGUGCCAAUUUUUUUUUUCCUUUUUCCCUCUCCCUUUUUUUUUUUUUUUCCCUCUUCCCCCGCAAGUUUUUUUUUCUCUCUGCGUCUCCCCCCUUCUCCCCCACCACCCUUCCCCUUCCCCUCUGGCUGAUCUGGUCGCGAGACCAGAUCGCACCGAGGGAGGGUGAGGGUGGCGGGGAAAGGGAGGACAGAGGGAAAGGGGGGCUUUGCCCAAAAAAAAAAAUUAACGGGUGGCGGGAUUCAGGGGUGGUAAACGGGAAGGGGAAUAGGGGAGGGGGAAGGGGCCAAGGGGGUGACGGGAGGAGGGGGAAGGUGGCGAGGGGGUGGCGGGGCAGUGAGGGUGGCGGGGUAGAGGGGAAGGUGGGCCUGGUUGGAAGUUGCGGGGGGAGGGGGUGGCGGAGGAAGGGCAGAGGGGAGGGCAGAGGGAAGGGGUGGCGGGGGGAGGGAGAAAGCCGGCAGAGGGGGAGAAGCAAAGCAGGGGGAAGGAGGGGGGAGGGAGUGGCGGGGAAGAGGGGAUGGCCGAAAGCAGGGGGAAGCGGGGUGAGGGGAUGGCGGGGGAAGGGGGAAGGCGGGCAGAGGGGGUGGCGGAGGAAGGGGGUGGCAGGGCAGAGGGGGAGAAGCAAAGCAGGGGGUAGCGGGAGGUGGCACUGCUGGAGGCAGAGGUAACGGGGAAGAAGAAGAAGAAGAAGAAGAAAGAAAAGAGAAAGGAAAGAAAGAAAAAGAAAAAGAAAAGAAAGAAAAAAAAAGAAAAGAAAAAAAGUUUUUAACCCUACAAAAACUUCUACAAAAUUUUUCUCUUUACAAAAAACUUCUACAAAAUUUUUCAAAAACUUCUACAGUGCACUACAGUAAAGUUUUAGACAAACUCCCAAAAACUAGGGUUCCAAACAGGCCCAUAGUUUUUGGGGUUUUGUAGCCUUUAUAGGAUAUAAUUUCUUAAUGGAUUUAGUUAUUGACUGGAGUGUUCUUUUUUAGGUGGUGCAUCUCUACAAGAGGAAGUGGGUUGAUGAAGCAACCUAUCCACGGUUCACUAUGAUUGGACAAAGUCUUGGUUCAGUUUACCUCUCAUGGGAAGCUUUAUGCAAGUUUACUCCUUUGUAUUAUUUUGAUACCUGUGGCUAUGCCUUUACUUAUCCAGUUGCCAGGGUAUUUGGAUGUAAAGUGAUUUGCUAUACACAUUAUCCAACUAUCAGUUUGGACAUGCUAUCUCGUGUUCAUGGACGGAAUUCUAUGUACAAUAAUGACACACUGAUAGCUAAGAGGUAUGCAUGGUGAUUUAUCAUGCACAUGAAACAUCUGAUUAAGAGAUUUGGUGUUAUUAUUUAUUUCUUUUAUGGUUCUUGAAUAACAAGAUAGGCAUUUGCUACUGAAAUGUGUUGUAGUUCUUGUUGAGAAAUAUUUAGGUAAUUUGCUUGUAGUUUUCAACUUGAUCUUGUCAAAAGUGUGUCAUCUGUCUUGCUCCUUUUUAUAGUUAUUUCGUUUAGCUAAAGAUUAAAAUGAUAGGAAGGAAAACACAAUUUUUGUUUUUCAUUUUCUAAUUUGUUGGAAUCAGAUUGAAUUCCAAUUUGCUCAUUACACUAGUGGCUUUAGUCUUCACUAGAACCAAAAUGACAUUCAUUCUCCUUCGGAAUUGUUUGGAGAUAAGUCUCAAUUUUUUCUUGCCUCUCCAGGUUUUGAAUAUUGGUUUUCAUGUGGAUCCUUUAGAGAGUUCAUACUUCAAUUGUUUACGAUGUUUUUUUCUGUCCUUGAUCAUAUCUUGUUUGAAUUGUACAUCUUUCCUGUCUUGUUUAUGAAAGUUAUCCAUGGAUCCUUGUAUCUUGAUCAUGAAGCACCUCUAAAUUUCUUUGAUAACAGUUCCUUUCUAUCCCAUUGCAAAGUCAUAUACUACAUGCUUUUUAGCUGGAUGUAUGGCAUUGUUGGCUCAUAUGCACACCUUGCAAUGGUGAAUUCUUCAUGGACAAAGUCUCAUAUUGAAAAGCUUUGGGGAAUUCCAGAUCGCAUUCGGCGUGUUUACCCUCCUGUGACACUUCAGGGCUUCAGGUUUUGCUUUGAUUAGUUUAUCCUCUUCAUGGUGCUUUGGGUGGCCCUUUAAUUUAGUUGUUGACUAUUUGUUCUUGUAAACAAUUUAAACUAUAUGGGUAUUAUGUUACUUGGCUAAACCACUCUUCAGGCCUUCCGUCUUUGUGUAAUGUCUGUUGGUUUGUGGUAGGGCCAUUUGACAUUCUGAUUUCUGUUAGUUGAAAAUACAGAUGCUUUUUUUGUUUUUAUCAUUGGGAAGGAUGUUAGUAUCAAAGUUUAAGCCCCCCCCUCUCUCUUUCCGGGGGCCCCUUCUUCCUCCCAUGAAAUUGCAAACUCAAAUUUUCAUCUUUGCUAGUUAUAUUUUUUCUUAAAAAUAUUCUUGCUUAAUUGUAUACAUCUCUCUCUCUCUCUCUCUGGGGCUCUGUGUCCUUUGUUACCAACUACAGAGAUCAGAAUGGAUGUUAUACAGUAAUCAGAAACUAAAAUCUCCUAAAUAGGCUUCUGGUGGUGUGGCUUUAGACGAUUCAAUUUGUGGUAUAUUGUGGUUUUGCAAAUUAAUAAAUUUGACACCUCAUAUAAAUGUUAUAAAUUUCCUUACUGUGUUGUCUGUCUGUUUCUCCUGGAAAUAGUUGGUGUGAUAAUCAUAACUACUUUGGAAGCUAAGCUUUAUGCCUUGUUAAGGAUGGAAAGGAAAGAAGUGAAAUAUUUUUGAUCCAAUAUUGAAGGAUAAAAAACUCAGAAAGGGCUGCAUGGUCUUAGCUCUGUUGUUCGAUAUCAUUUUGCUGCUUAUAUUCUGCUGAUUUCUGUACAUAACUGCCUGCAAAGCUAUUGUCAUUAGUGGGAAGUGCCUUGCCAACAUUUACAUUGAUCAAAAUUUCUGCUAGUAACUAGAUACAGAUAUUAACCUAAUUUAUAUGAACAGGCACUUCCAUUGGAGAGGCCUAUGACACCACCCAAGAUUAUUUCUGUGUCUCAAUUUCGGCCAGAGAAGGUGGGGAUUUUUAUAAUAAAAAUGAAAAGUAUUUGAACUCUAGCAGUUACUUUGUACCUCAGGCCAGUCAUGGUCUCUGUGAGUUAUCCUUAAGUUACUUCUUUGGGCCAGGCACAUCCUAUUCAGCUGGAGGCAUUUGCUGUUGCCAUUACAAAGUUGGAUUUAAAUCUUCCAAGGCCCAAACUUCAGCUUGUGGGUAGUUGUAGAAAUGAAGCAGAUGAGAGAAGGUUGCAAGAGUUGCAGGACCUAGCUGUUGAAUUAAAGGUGGCAGAUGAUGUGGAGUUUCAUAAGAAUGUGAUGUAUAGGUUUGUGCAUUUUAACGAUUGCUCAGCAUUGUAUUUGAUACCAGACCUCGUAAGAAAGUAUCAAAACAAGAGAUAAUCUGAAAUUAGGUAUUGAUUCUAUUUCAUUUUAAGAAAGGAUUCAGGAAAAAAGAGAUUUUCUUAUGAUCUGUGAAUGACCAUGCACUAUGUAGACAUUGAAUUCUGUUCUCUUUCUGCUUACUGAAUCUUAUAAGCGUUUGGUUGUAUCCUUUCCAUUCAGCAUAUGGCUAGGGGUUCAUUAAAUUGUAGUUCUUGAUGCCUACUUUAGCUUUAUGUUUGCGUAGUUCCUACACGUUAGCUUUUUAAUUUUGCUGUGCAUCAUUUUUUCCACUUUUUUUUUUUGGCAAUGAGAGAGUCUUAAUUCAUUUCUCUAUUUGAUUAAUAUUGCAGUGAUUUGGUUAAGCUUUUGGGUGGUGCGGUUGCAGGAAUUCAUUCCAUGAUAGAUGAGCAUUUUGGAAUAUGUGUUGUGGAGUACAUGGGCGCUGGGGCUGUACCAAUAGGUCGGUUGGCUCUUUACACAGUAGUUAUGCCUUCUCUUUAUCUACUUAAAACCUGGAGGUGGGUGUGAAUUUAACUUCUUUGCUUUUGGAUUGCUCAGCCCAUAAUUCGGCUGGCCCCAAGAUGGAUAUUGUGUCGGCAGAAGAUGGGGAACAAACUGGAUUCCUUGCCGAAAAUGUGCAAGAAUAUGCAGAGGCCAUUUGCAAGGUCAUUGUGAUGCCUGAAUCCAAGAGAUGUGUCAUGGCAGCAGCUGCAAGGAGAAGGGCCUCAAGGUUCUCAGAGGAUAGAUUUUUCGAGGACUUUAGAGCUGCUAUCAGACCUAUCUUAUGCAAAACUUCAAGAUGAUACAAAUACAAUUUUGUUAAUGGAUGCCUAUUACCCGUUUAGUUUAGUGUUCAAAUGAGAAAUGUAUGAAAAUCGUCUUGGGCUAAUGUACUCUUUCCCUUCUUCCCUCCCUAACAUUAACACAGAGAUUUGACACAUCAUUUAUGUCCCUGAUGGAAAUUUUAGAAGGGAAUUUUUGUUAGGACUUGAUGCUGAGCAAUUGUAGAAAAUUGUAGCAUGGAAUUUGAGUGGUUGGAUCAUUUUGUCAUGGUUGCGGUUGUUCGGCUUUCUCGUUGCCAUUAGCAGAUGUUUACAGCUUAGUUUUCCCAUUUUAAUGGAUGAAACCAAACACACAUUAAGAGGUGAACUCUGAGCUCCGAGAUGAUAAAAGAACAGCUUCUGUUUCCUUCUUUGUUAUUGAUGUUAUUGGUUAUGCUGUUCCUAAGAGUGAGCGGAUUUGUCUCAAAGAGGCUUCCAAGCCUUUUGUCAUGAUACUCAGUGUCUGAAAUCAAUAUCUGAUAUCUAUCUUGUGGGCAGGAAAAUCACACAAAGGAACGUUUGUCAAAACUAAGAACGUCUAUUGUUUAUAAGGAUUGCAGUAAGAUUUCUAACUAUUAUGUUGGAAAAGCAUCCUGUUGCAAAAUCUGCAUGCAUGGUAGCCAUAAAUAAGUGCUAUACCCCAGACAUGCCAUUGUGACACAACAUCGUCAUUAAAAUAGGUACAUAUAACAGGAUGCAUUUCAUCUUUAUAAUGACCAAGACACAAGCAACACAUUCCCAACCCCCCAGUAUUCGCCCUCAUAAAACAAGCUGUGCAAUAAAAAACAUUCAUCUCAUAGAGAAUUGGCAAUGCUUUAAGACACAUCUAAGCAGAUACUAGAUAGGAGAAGAAUCACAAACAAUCUAUUGCAGAGUCAAUACGCAUAAUGUACAAACAACUAGGGAAGUUUGAAAAUCCCCACUUUACAUAAUCAGCUUGUUAAAAAGACACAAUCGUCUAAAACUAAGUUCUAAAGUCUCUAAAAUUUACUCCCUGCUUAAGUGGCAGUGCAUUUCCGUUAUAACUUCAAAGGAGAAAUUUGGGAUGAAAACACUCCAAGAGCCUGAAUGCAUUUAAAGAUUCAACUAUAUUGGUUCUUCCCAAGCUUGGAGAAGUUAGGCAGGUGACUGCAACAUAUGAAAUAUGUGCAAGAAGCAUCCCCUAAUUGAAGAAAAGCCCCCAGAAACUUCAAUGUUUAUGUAAUCCUACACGGAAAUUUGAAAUAGGAAAAGAGAAUCAGUAGAAAACAUCUGAUAUCAUCAGCUUUUACAACAUAACUACAACAAAUGCAGGCAACAUACAAGGGGUGCAAAACAAGAAUGCAAAUUCUUCCUCCUCAAUGUUGUGUUCAGAAAUAAUUUCAAAGCUUUACCAAGCACCUGCCUGCAGUACCUUUUUUUUUUUAAAUUAACUUUUUAGCACCAUGUAGCUCUUACAUAAGAUUCUGCCUUUAGAAAGGGAGAAAAAAUUUCCUACAAAACAUGAUUGAGGACCAAAUUACACCAAUUAAAAAACUUAAAGAGUUAAGCCGGCCUAAAAGUUCCAAAAUGUCCUAAAGAAAAGACACACUAAUACACGUCUAAAAUGGAACAUCCUGGAAGUGAGUUGUUGGAAAACAGAACAGUAUUCAAUCCCAAUCAAAAAAAUCAUACAAAUCAAACUCAAAGGUGGGAGAGUGAGAAUAGGGGCUACUAGAGGCGGUUGUGGGAGUAAGGACAUUCAUUGGGUAAUGUGGUGGGUUAACCAGAGAAAGUGGGCUGCAGCACUGGCAAUUGUAGGAGAGUGGCAGAAGUUACUAGUCAGGUUCACAGGAAGGGGAUGGAUUGCAGUUCUACUUGGAAGUAGUAAAGCUAACUAUUUUUAACAAUUAGGAUAGAGUAUGGUGAUUGAUCUUUUGUCAUUAAAUAAGGCUGAGCAAAUGUGUUUCAAGUUUUGGAGGAAUUUCGAGGGCCAAAGAAUUCGCCUCUAAAUAUUUCUUCCCUGAAUAAGCUCACUUGCCUACAUUCUAUUUAUCCUGAAUAUCAAGUACUAUUGGACCGGUAUCAAACAUUCAGUGUCUUUCCUGUUGUUCACAGGGAAUCAGUAGAAUUUCAUCAAUUCCAACCUAUUUUGUAAUUAAUCUCUAGGUCAAGCUCCACACAUCCACAAUAUGACAUAUAUCUCAUUUUACUUACAGAAACCUUAGGAUUUUUCAAAAUCACCAAAAUCACCUUCCCCCAUAAAUGGUGCACUGAUUUUGGUUGAAAUAUCAUUAAUAAAGGAACUAAUCUUCUUGCUAAUAAUCGAUGUGACAUUAAAUCACCAAAUUACAAUUGAUGUGUGACAUAGAACCAUACAUUUUGGCAUAACCAAGAAUUUCAAUGAUAUAGCCCACAUAAUCUUUUUAGCGAAAUUGCAUAAAGAUAAGGCUAGCUGUAAUUGUUUUACUACCUUAUUUUCUAGUUUCGUUCUCAUUCCAAUGAUUUGUUUUCUCAAUAAAUACUCUUGUACUAGAGUAGUCAGGAUGAAUCAAUCAAAAAAUAUUGAAUUUUACGAAGUUCUUAUGUGUAGUACACUCAAGCCGUUUCUCUAGUUCCCUGAGGAACAAUUUUGGAGAAGACUGAUGGCUUCCAACAUGUUGUCGCCAGCAUUAACAAUAAACACUACAAUGUUCCAAUGCAGCUGCCACUUCAAUAAGAAGACAAUAUUUAGGGCCAUCUCUCAUUAGAUUUGUCACAGAUCAUAUUUCAGUCAAUUCAUUUACAUAACCAAAUUCAGUGUUACCAAGACUGCUAUAAUCUGCUAGGGGUUCUUAAGAAAGUGCUUAGUCAAAAGUGUUGCUUAAUCUCUACAAAACUUAAGUGCUUCUAAAAUGAUGUUGACAACUAUUAAGCACUUCAGUAGUCACUAAUCAUGGCUCCAAGCAAUUUUAGACACAAUUUAACUUUUUGUUGUCAUCAUAUGCAAACAUUUUGUUAUCAAUCCCCGCAACCCCAGUCACCACUUGAUAAUGCCAUUUUGACAAUUCUAGGCAACUUCAUGAAAUCAACAAUAGUUUACUAAUCCACCAAUGUGAGUAAGGGUUUUAAAAAAAAAAUCAGCCUAUUUUAGAACCACAAUACAAUAAGCUCACAUAGAAAAAUAUCUCUGCAAGCUUAAAAGACUCUAUGAUUUAGACAGAAGGGCAAGAUUGAGAGAGUUUAUAGAAAUGUUGCUUGUGCAUUAUUGUAGAAGAAGGACCUACAGUAGUCUUUGGGAGCGAAAUGAGAAAAUAGAAAAAUUUUAAAAAAAAAACUCAAUGUAGAUUCGGUCCUCUUAUUAAGAGAGACAUUUUUAAUUUUAGUACUCACACCCAAAAGCUGUUAAUGAUCCACCUAAAUAAGACAUCAUAAUAUGAAGGAACUUGGCCGUAAAACUUGUAAGUUUAGCAGUUUCAUUGAUAAUAGACUAAAUAAGGUGGUGCUGGAAAACGGAGUGGAAUAGCAAAAUCAGAUUCUACAAAAGGAAUUUUCUUAACCUUCUCCAAUCACCUGUAUCAAUACAAUAGGGCAUAGAAUUGGGGCAAGCAAACAGGGCUAUUUUCAAACAAAGCUAGAAUUGGCAUUCAGCAAUUUUUAGUUCUGGAUUCUUGUAGCACUUAAUGUCAUCCUUAGUCUUUUUGGCUUAUGAAUUCUUUCUCCAUAAAAGUCAGAAUCACAUACAUUCAAUAUUCCCCAGUCGAGUAGCUUUUAAAACAUUGCAAGCUUACUAUACAAGCACUGUGAUUCAAAAACUCAAAGGUGAAUAAACCAUCUUUCAGAUUUUGCAUAAUUUGCUGUAUGAUUGCAUUAUUUUUCAGUUGAGAUUCUUAAAGGGCGUCAAAGAAAAUCUAAGAUAUCAUGAUUUCUCUGGUUACUUUUUGGUUUCUCUUCUUGCUUUUUCAUAAGUUCUUGAAAUACACUGCUCUGAGAACUCCUAAAUUCAAAUUUAGAAGCUUUCCUGCAUCAUUGUUUUAUUAGAAUAUACAUUUCCUAAAGAUGCUAUUGGGUCCAAUUUCAUCAAUUCUACAUUCAUGAAGGAUGAACUUGGUCUUCUUACCAGCAAGAUCCUUUAAAAGUACAAUUGAAUAAACUCCUAAUUUAGAUUAGAAUAUCUAAAUCAGAAUAACAGGAAAAGCAGUCAUUGAAGCACAAAACUAAAGUAUGAACAAAAAACAGCGGUCAUCAUGUAGAAAAUUCAUGUUGAAACUUGGAGCAAGGCUAUCAGAGGUGAAAGUGUACCACACUCAAAAAUAUUAGACAACCAAAAAAAAAAAAGGCAAAGCAAUGCAGAAAAGACGAACUCAUACCCUACCAGAAUAUCUAAAUUAGAAUAACAGGAAAAGCAGUCACUGAAGCACAAAACUAAAGUAUGAACAAAAAACAGCAGUCCUCAUGUAGAAAACUCAUGUUGAAAGUUGGAGUAAGGCUAUCAGAGGUGAAAGUGUACCACACUCAAAAAUAUUAGACGACAAAAAAAAAAAAGGCAAAGUAAAGCAGAAAAAACGAACUCAAACCCUACCAGAAUGUCAGAAUGUCAGUUGGCAUGUUGGCCAUCAUCAUCUGAAUCAUCAAUGAGUACAGGUUCAUUUCUAUCAGUUCUACAGUCACCAAAAAGCUCAUCUAUCUCUGCAUCUGAAUCCUCAAGUUGUACAGGACCCUUUAAACUGCCUUUAUUAUCACCAAGAGCUCACGAGCUGCCUUCUCAAGGAAUUCUUUGGCAGCAGUUUGAACAGGUUGCUUCUCUGGUGACCCAUAUUUUCUCUUCUUAUGCACACUUCUUUCAGAAUGCUUUAUUGUAGUACCCUGUCUUCUACUAAUCUCCCUCAUGCUUUGCUUCUGCUCUGCAGAAUUAAUCUAUUUUUCAAAGCCAAAUUAAAUGAUAGAAUUAAUCCAAUAAACCAACUGAGCACCUACCCCUGGUGAGAUCAGGCAAAGAAUGGUCAAUGAAGCGGGUCGCUGCUUGGGCAUUUAUGGUGGCUGAAGGACGCAGUGGCGCUUUGAAGAUGAACAGGGAUUUUAUCAGUGAAUAUAUAUCUCAAUCAGUACAGAGUAAACAUAUUAAAGAUGGUAAAGAAUAAGCAAAAACUUCCAUUUUAAGUUUCAAAGGGAACAUGUUACAACUUCGAAAACACAGAUAAUGUGAAAAACCACUUUCAUAUUGUUCCAAAAUCCAGAUUAAUGUUUCUCAAUAUUAUCUUUAAUGGGACAAACUGAUACAACACCAACAAAGGAGAGCCUUCAAGAAGAGUGGUCCAUACUUUAAAAGAAAGAAAGAAGUUCAUUGAAGACAAGGAAAAAUUUGUUCAAGAUAUAUAUUGCUUGUUCAGCUAAUUCCACAUGAAAUGCGAAAAAGAUUUACUGGAAAGCUACCCACAUAAUUAUUUGCCUUAGCAGAGAAAAUCUGCAUUUUCUUCAUCUCAAAAUGUAACUCACCUUCCAUCUUAAACUUAAAAUCCCUAGAGUAAAUAAAAGGGAUUAUAAGUACCUUUACUCAACUCUAUACACCGCUGAACUUUUUCCUGGUACAAGCUCAACCUCUCCUAUAAACACAAAAAUAAACCCAUAUCUGUGAAAAUGUUACUCGGCAAACAGUCCACAAACUUGAAGUUGAACCAAAAGCAUCACAAAUUGAUAGGGAUAUAUACCAUAAGGCUGUAAACAACAACAAAGUCAAAAAGAAUGAAAAAGCAACAUCAAUCAAAACAUCACACAAAAUAACCUAUCAUUGCACAACCGAAAUUGCUAGCAUAACUGCUUAAAUGAGAAAGGAUUAGGUUAACAUAGCCCUAAGGCCCUUGACCCUGCAAGCUACAAAGGCAAUUUCUGGUUAAUCACCCUGUUACCUUGAGCACGAUGAAACAUCCUUGUAACAAUUAACAAUUAAAACACGCAUGCAAGAAUAAAUCAGGGUCAACCCUCAACCCACAUUUCUAAGGAAUAUUAUUCCCAAUCACAAAGCAACAUAAAGGCCCUUAAGCCUGCAAGCUACAAAGGCAAUUUCUGGUUAAUCACCCUGCUACCUUGAACAAAUGAAACAUCCGUGUAACAAUUAACAAUUAAAACACACACGCAAGAAUAAAUCAGGGUCAAACCCUCAAUCUACAUUUCUAAGGAAUAUUAUUCCCAAUCACAAGGCACAGAUUUUAAACAGAAGUGGCCCCUUAAUCACCUAAUAAACACCCACAAUUAAGUCUGACCCUCGAACAAAAUUCAACAGUCAGGAAUAAAGGCAAGAACCAUUUACCAUUAACCAACAAAUAUACCCAAAAAUUAAACAAAAAUUGAAGAAGAAUAUAAUACAUACAUGCUCUGACUUGACAGCGUGCUCAUCUGGGUUCACUCCAUUGCAUCUCAACCUCACUGCAAAACCACCAAAAAUUUGACAUCAAACUCAAAUUCCAAGAAUUCAAUUAAACAAAACCCACAAAACAAAGAGCAAAAGAAACCAUUUUUCGGCCAGUUUAGACAUACAAGUGAAAAGGGUCGUGGUAAUUUUGGCAAGCAAGAGAAGGGACUGAGCCCUUUCAAGAGGGUUCAUCUGGGACAAGACAUCAUUGUCACAGAGGGACAGGAAAUCGUCAAAAAAGAUCCCAACUUCCUCAAUGUUGAUUGAGGUUCUCUUGACUGCCUCCAUGACUGAUUCUGGUACAAUUCUUGUUCCACCACCAUCAUUUCCACCUUCCAUAGCCGAUUUCUAAGUAGCAAAUUGAUUCUUCGAGGACUCUUGUUACGCUUUAACAACUAUAUGAGAGUGUGUAGAUAUCAGAUGACAGUGCUAACUAGUUGAGGGAUUUGUUGGUUCUUUUGUUUGUUUGUUUUGGGGUUUAGCUGUUUUUGCGGAGGUUGAGGAAUCCAAUUGGAUUUUGGAAAAUCUAGUGACCAGGUUUGGGGCAGUAAAUCUCCCAAUACAUACCUGGGAUAUUUAUGCGGCGGAGGAUACACUUUCACCCCGUAUAGAGCAGAGAGAAGAGCAGAGCGAACUCACAGAAGUUUGACAGCAGAGCAUGCUAAAACCAAAGGCGGCAGAAUAUGAGAAAGAGUGAUGUAAGAGGCAUCGGUUACAUCGUCGGAUAAUUUCACAUGGAGUUAAAUACAAUUCCAUCCUCAUAAUUUGACCAAAGUGCCGCUGGACCCCUGAAUCUCAAGAUGUUGCAAGUGGGCCCUCUGGACUUUUUUUUUUUUGUUUUUGGUAGGGAAGGGUUAAAACUUAAGAAGUGGGGAAGGUGUAGGGAAAUUUGAAUUCAUGAUUUCUAAUUCCGCGUUCUCUUGGCUUGUUGCUAUAAAAUCUAAAAUGAUAUUUUUUAAGUUUAAUUUCAAAUAUAUAGCACCUAUUCAAUUCCCCUUGUAUAGAAGAAUCCUUUCAUUAACAGUAUAAAAUUGAUUAGUUCUUUAUAAAUUACCUCAACUUAUUAUUUUACUAUUUGUUUCUAUAAAUAUUAGUUUUAUCAUCACAAAUGAUCCAUUAAGAUAUAUCGAAGUCUAUGCUUUCAAAUCCAAACUGGGUGCAUUAGAUGAGCUUCUUGUCCACAAUGGUUGUUUAAUCAAUCAAGUCAAGGAUUCAACCUUUUCAUCUAAAAUUUGAAAAUUUUGAAAAAUAAUAUUUAAAUGUAACAAGAAAAAUUCUUAGUGGCUAAUUGAUUCAAUUAUCCAAGGUUUGUAAGCUUUAACAAAUUGAUCUUUAGUCAGAUAUAACCAUUUUUACUUUUUGGGUUUAAUUUAUAAUUGGACUAUUAUCGUGAUUGAAUAUUAGUUUAGUCAAUAAAUUAUUCGAUCAGAUUUAAGUUUUAAAAUACUACAUAAAUCCAUUACAUAUAGUUAGAAUUUAAUAUAACCAUGUUUUAUUAGAAAGCAAUCACAUAAUGGAAUACACAUUGUCGUCUUAUCAAUUUUAAAUUCUUAGAGUAUUAUAUAAAUUUGGUAAAUUUUUUUCCCACUAGGUACGUGAUGUGCUUAUUAUAUAUUAACUCUAAAGAAAAGUACGAGUUUUCACCUUUAAAAAGAAUAUAUUUUUAAAAGAUGAAAAUGGAGAAGAGAAGAAUCAAUUUCAAAUACUUAUAUACGUUUCAAAUAAUUACAAAAAACUGUACUAUGGAAACUAUUCUAAAACCAAUAGAUUUAUGUUAUGAAACAACUAAAAUGUGGAAGUUCCUUUGUAUUCCCAAGAGAAUUAAUUCAUGAUUUAUGGCUAUAUUAUGUAUAGAAGUUACAAUCCAUAAAUCUAUUCAUGUAGUGGAGAAACCAUUUCAUAGGUUUCUUCAUAUUAUUGUAGUAGUGGGUGUUUAAUAAAAUUGAUGUACCUUUAAUCUUGUAAUACCUAUAUAUAGAGGUACAUUGACACCCUUUGGGAUGACUUUUGUAUCUUAUUGGAAUAUAAGAAUAUCACUCUCCAUUUCUCUACUUCUUUCUCCAAUAUUUCACUUGAUAUUAUAGUAGCUUAUUUUAUUAGUUUUAUAACACGUUAUCAGCACGAAAUCUCUACUUUUGAGCAAAAGGUGAAAACGGAGGCUCUAUCUUGAACAAAGGUGAAGCACAAGAUUUUGUCGAAAUUCUGCCCAUAUUUCUUCAAGAAAAUUCUGAGGUAAAUUUCUAACUCAAAAACUUAUUUCAAUUUCUUAUGGGUAAUCUUACAAAACAAGAGUUCAUACCUCUUGAUAUUUCUGGAAAAAAUUAUUUAUCAUGGGUAUUAGAUGUUGAAAUUCAUCUUGAGGCAAUGAGUCUUGGUAAUACUAUUGUGGAAAAAAAUGAAUUCUCAAGCCAAGACCGUGCCAAAGUUAUGAUUUUCCUUCAUCAUCAUUUAGAUGAAGGAUUAAAAAUAGAGUAUCUUACUGUUAAAGAUUCUCUUGUCCUUUGGCGAGAUUUGAAAGAAAGAUUCGACCACCUGAAGUUGGUCGUUCUUCAAAAGCCCGAUAUGAUUGGCUUCACUUACGGCUGCAAGAUUUUAAAUCUGUCAACGAAUAUAAUUCAGUCAUGUUCAGAAUCACUUCUCAAUUAUCAUUAUGUGACGAAAAAGUCACUGAUGAAGAUAUGUUAGAGAAAACAUUUUCUACUUUUAAUAUCUCUAACAUGCUCCUGCAGCAGCAAUAUCGAGAGAAGGGAUUUAAAAAUAUUCUGAACUUAUCGCAUGUCUUCUCUUGACUGAACAAAAUAAUGAAUUAUUGCUGAAAAGCCAUGAGUCCCGACCAACUAGUGCAAGUCCAUUCCCUGAAGCGAAUGCGACCCAGUUUUAAAAUUCUGGUCGAGGUCGUGGACGUGGCCGUGGAGGAGGCCGUGGACGUGGCCGUGGCCGUGAACGUGAUCGUAGUAAAUUUGUGCUCCAUGAAAAUUUUAACCGUGGCAAACAACAAAAUGUUUCCCAAAAAAGGGAAAAUAACUACGAUCAGAAAAUGGAGAAAAGAAAAUUUAUGAAGAAAAAUGCUACCGAUGUGGUAUGGAAGGUCAUUGGUCUCGUACCUGUCGUACGGCUGAAUAUCUUAUUGACCUCUAUCAAGCAUCAUUGAAAAAGAAAGACAAAGGUGUUGAGACAAAUUUCAUUGAUCAAAAGAAUGAUUAUGAUGAUGCUGAUAUGACACACCUCGAUGUAACUGAUUUUUUUGAGCAUCCUGAAGAUGUUAACAAAUAUCCCAUGAUUAUUUAGAUAUUUUUAUGAUACUUUAUAUCUUUCAUAUAAUUUCCUUUCCAUUGAAUAUUUAUUUUCGCAUCUUUAUUAAUAUUUAUUUUUAUUUAAAAUUUUCUUCCUGAAGAAGAAAUAGAUGUCAAAUAUUUGGGAUUAAAUAAUGGUGAUGAUAAUAUUUGUCUCAUUAAUAGUGCUACUACGCACACCAUAUUGAAAAAUAAAAAAUAUUUUUUUUGUUUGAAAAUGAGAGAAACAAACGUUAAUACCAUUAGUGGUAGUGCAAAAUUGAUUGAAGGCUCCGGAAGAGCCACUAUAUUUCUCCCUGGAGGGACUAAAAUUAUUGUAAAUAAUGCACUAUUCUCUCCCAAGUCUCGAAGAAACUUAUUGAGUUUUAAAGAUAUCCACGAAAAUGGAUAUCAUAUCGAGACAAUGACUGAGACAAAUGGUGAAUUUUUAUUAAUCACAAGUAUCAUUUCUGAAAAAAAUGCGUAGUAGAAAAAUUAUCUUCUUUUUCUUCUGGGUUAUAUUAUGCACAAAUUAGUGCAAUUGAAAUUCAUCACCUAGUAGACCAGAAGUCUACUCUUCCUAAUGAUUUUAUGGUUUGGCAUAAUUGUCUCAGACAUCCCGGAUCUAUAAUGAUGAGACGAAUAAUUGAGAAUUCACAUGACCACUCAUUGAAAAAUCAAAAAGUAUUAACAGUCAAUGAAUUCUCUUGUGUUGCUUGUUCUUAAGGGAAAUUAAUUAUUAGACCAUCACAAGUUAAAGUUGGGACUGAAUCCCCUGCAUUUCUAAAACGAAUUCAUGGUGAUAUAUGUGGGCCUGUAGAUCCACCAUGUAGACCAUUUCGAUAUUUUAUGGUGCUAAUUGAUGCAUCAACUAAAUGGUCACAUGUAUGUUUAUUAUCUACUCGUAACUUGGCAUUUGCGAGAUUGCUUGCUCAAAUAAUUAAAUUACGAGCACAAUUUUCAGAUUACCCAAUAAAGAAAAUUCAUCUAGAUAAUGCUGGUGAAUAUUCGUCACAUGCUUUUGACGAUUAUUGUAUGUCCAUUGGAAUAACUGUUGAACAUUCUGUAGCUUAUGUUCACGCACAAAAUAGUCUAGCUGAAUCACUUAUUAAACGGUUACAAUUAAUUGCUAGACCAUUGUUGAUGAGGUCUAAACUUCCUUUACUUGUUUGGGGACAUGCUAUUUUACAUGCAGCAACACUUGUGAGAAUUAGACUGACAAGUUAUCAUACUUAUUCUCCCCUACAAUUAACUUUUGGUUAUGAACCCAAUAUUUCUCAUUUACGAAUAUUUGGUUGUGCGGUGUAUGUCCCAAUUGCACCGCCCCAACGUCAUAAAUUGGGCCCCCAAAGAAGAUUGGAGAUAUAUGUCGGAUAUGAAUCACCUUCAAUCAUUAAAUAUAUGGAACCAUUAACAGGUGAUUUAUUUACUGCGAGAUCUGCAGAUUGCCAUUUUGAUGAAUCACAUUUUCCGACAUUAGGGGGAGAUAAAAAUCAACCUAAAAAGGAAAUCACUUGAAAAAAAUCGUUGAAUUUCCUUGAUCCUCGUACUAUAGAAUGUGAACUAGAAGUUCAAAGGAUUAUACAUUUGCAAAAAAUUGCAAAUCAAUUACCGGAUGCAUUUAAUGACUCCAGAAGAGUUACUAAAUCACAUAUUCCUGCUAAAAAUGCUCCGAUUAAAAUUGAUGUCCCUGAAGGACAAAUUACAAGUGCUAAUGAGUUUAAAGCAUGCUUGAAGCGUGGGAGACCUCUUGGUUCCAAAGAUAAAAAUCCUCGAAAGAAAAAAGGAGUAGAUGAAUCAACAAUUAGUGACAAAAUUCAACCUCCUGAAGAGGUCGCUCCUACAAAUCCAAUUCUUGAAGAGAAUGAAAUUAUAGAAAAUUCAAUAAAUUUUGUCAUUUCAAAAAAAAGUUGGAACCGAAAAGAAAUAAUUAUUGAUAGUAUUUUCGCAUAUAAUGUAGCACUUGAUAUUAUGGCAGAGGACGAGGAUCAUGAGCCUAGAUCGGUUGAUGAAUGUCGAGGUAGAAAUGAUUGACCAAAAUGGAAAGAUACGAUCCAAUCUGAAUUGGACUCACUGGCUAAAAGAAAAGUUUUUGGACCUAUAGUCCAAACACCUAAAGGUGUAAAACUAGUAGGAUAUAAAUGGGUAUUUGUGAGAAAAAGAAAUGAGAAAAAUGAAAUUGUGAGGUAUAAAACAAGACUUGUAGCUCAAAGAUUUUCACAAAGGCCUGGAUUUGAUUAUGAUGAAACGUAUUCACCUGUAGUGGAUGCUAUCACAUUUAGAUAUCUUGUAUGUUUUGCAGUACAUGAAAAAUUAGAUAUGUGUCUAAUGGACGUCGUUAUUGCAUAUUUAUAUGGGAAUCUUGAAAAUGAUAUUUAUAUGAGAAUCCCCGAAAAGUUCAAUAUGCCUGAAGCAUGCAAAUCAAAUCUUAAAAAUAUUUAUUCUAUUAAAUUACAAAGGUCUCUGUAUGGGUUUAAACAAUCUGAACGUAUGUGGUAUAACCGCUUCAAUGAAUGUUUAACUAAAGAAGGUUAUACAAAUGAUCCAAUAUGUCCAUGUAUUUUUAUCAAGAAAAAUGGAUCAAAUUUUGUGAUAAUUGCUGUAUAUGUUGAUGAUCUAAAUUUGAUUGGAACUCCUGAAGAGAUUCAAAAUAGUGUUGAAUAUUUGAAGAAAGAAUUUGAGAUCAAAAUUUUGUAAAGACAAAAUUCUGCCUUGGUUUGCAAAUUGAGCAUUUGAAAGGUGGAAUUUUUGUCCACCAAACUGCUUAUACCCAGUAGGUAUUAAAGCGAUUUUAUAUGGAUAAAACACAUACAUUAAGUACCCCAAUGAUCGUCAGAUCAUUAGAUCCUAAUAAAGAUCCUUUUAGACUAUGAGAGGAAAAUGAAAAUAUACUUGAUCCUGAAGUACCAUAUCUCAGUGCAAUUGGUGCACUAAUGUAUCUUGCUAAUUGUACAAGACCGGAUAUAUCAUUUGCAGUGAAUUUAUUAGCAAGAUUUAGUUCCUCACCCACAAGACGACAUUGGAAUGGCAUUAAACAUAUUUUUCGCUAUCUCCAAGGAACAAUUGAUUUGGUUUAUUUUAUUCAAAUAAAUCCAAAUCCGAAUUGGUUGGUUAUGCUGAUGCUGGGUAUUUAUCUGACCCGCAUAAAGCAAGAUUUCAGACUGGCUAUCUAUUUACAUAUGGAGGUACAACCAUUUCUUGGCAAUCUACAAAACAAUCAUUAGCCGCCACUUCAUCGAAUCAUGCUGAAAUAAUAGCAAUUCAUGAAGCCAGUCGAGAAUGUGUUUGGUUAAGAUCAAUGACCCACUAUAUUCGAAAGAGUUGUGGGUUAUCCUCCGAAAAAGAAAAUCCUCCAACUAUAUUAUAUGAAGAUAAUACAGCUUGUAUAGCCCAAUUGAAAGGAGGAUAUAUUAAAAGAGAUAGGACAAAGCAUAUUUCACCAAAAAAAUUUUUACUCAUGAUUUGCAAAAGAAUGGUGAAAUUGAUGUGUAACAAAUCCGAUCAGAUAAUAAUUUGGCGGAUUUAUUUACCAAGGCAUUCCAACUGCAACAUUUGAGAAAUUGGUGAAGAGUAUUGGAAUGCGACGAUUAAAAGAUCUCAAAUGAUAUUUGCAUCAGGGGGAGAAAUUAAUACACAAGAAUAGUGUACUCUUUUUCCUUCACUAGGAUUUUUGUCCCGAUGGGUUUUUCUCUAGUAAGGUUUUAACGAUGCAUAUUCUUUGUGUAGUAGACAUCCAAGGGGGAGUGCUAUGAAACAACUAAAAUGUGAAUGUCCCUUUGUAUUUCCAAGAGAAUUAAUUCAUGAUUUAUGACUAUAUUAUGUAUAGAAGUUACAAUCCAUAAAUCUAUUCAUGUAGUGGAGAAACCGUUUCAUAGGUUUCUUCAUAUUAUUGUAGUAGUGGGUGUUUAAUAGAAUUGAUGUACCUUUAAUCUUGUAGUACCUAUAUAUAGAGGUACAUUGACACCCUUUGGGAUGACUUUUGUAUCUUAUUGGAAUAUAAGAAUAUCACUCUCCAUUUCUUUACUUCUUUCUCUACUUCUUUCUCCAAUAUUUCACUUGAUAUUAUAGUAGGUUAUUUUAUUAGUUUUAUAACAAUUUAUAACAUAAUAAAAUAUGAAAAAGGCUAAAGAAUCUAUGCAAAAAAUUUCAUUUAGGAUGUACUCAUAUACAAUUAAUUAUCACUAGAAAUAAUCCAACAUGAUUUGACAUGUAAUUCAUUAUUAAUACUAUAUUAGUUAUACGUAUAAUGUUUAAGAAAAAGCAAGUAGUAACAUAUUUGGAAAAAAUAUAAAAAAUAUAAAAAAAAAAUACGAGUUUACAAGAAGUUAAUCCAUCCAUAUUUUGAAAUUUAUGAAACUAUUUUGUUUGUCGCUUUGUUGUCAAAAUUAGUAACAUAAUGCGUUCGUAGUCUUGCCAUCACUUCAUGUAUGCAAUUACUUUUCUUUCAAAAAUUUUUGCACACAAUUGUAUUGAUAAUAUUUAUUAUUCUGUUGCCAUAAUAUAGAAAUUAUAUAUUUCAUAUGUUACACUUUUUAAGUUUUGAAUUUUCAUUUCAUCCAUGGACCGCAAUCAAUGGGGCAUAGUUGGACAACUCCAUUUUACGUUCUUAACCUAUCACUAUUAGUACGUGGGUCCUAUGCUAUAUGCUAGUUGAUGGCUAAAAAACAGUUCGAACACCCAUUUGUUUUCCUUAUGGUUAAAUGUAAAACCCCCUCCCUCCCAAUGAACUUUUAUAGCUGUUGCACAAUAUACCCCAAAAGUAUGUUUAUAGACACUUUGUACCUUAAGAAAAUUGUCGUUCACAGAUUUAACAAUGAAACAAAGCGUGCGUCUCACAAACUCUAUUCAUUGAAAUUUCCUGGUAAAAUUGCCCCUCCUUCCAAACGACUAUAAAUUGCUAUCUCCACCCAUCAUCACCUAUCAUGCUUUUCAUUUAAUAUCAUUUUCUUCACAGCUUUUCUUCUUUUAUUUCCUCUUCUUUCACAGAUGUUGCAUAGUCUUUUACACACAUGAAGCACAGUCCUAAUAGUUGUAGCUCAAGCAAUGCAUUUCAAGCAACAAAUUUCAACUGAAGAUGUAGGUGCGGAAGAAUAGUACAUUUACGCACUUCAUGGACCAUUCACAAUCCAAGAAAAAAUUUUUUAGGAUGUUCUAAUUAUUAGGUAAGUCCAAACAUACUACAAUUUCAGUGAAUCAAAGGUAAUAACAGCAACUUAUUCUGGAUUCUUUUGUAAAUAGAAUGCUAAUGCAUGCGGGUAUUUUAAGUGGGUGAAACUUGAAACAUGCAAAAAGGAAUGGAAAUUAGAGCAUAUUUUCAUGGCCAAAUGGAAGAAAUAUAGGUAAGGACGAACCAUCUGUAGCAACAAAAUGAGCAGCUACAAAGAGCAUAUGAAAGAGUGAAUGGUGCAAGAGUUUGUAGUAUGCUUCAAAAUGACCAAUUGGUAGCCAAAUGUGAAGAAUUGAAAGCUAUAAUCCAAUCAUUGUAAGAAACCGUGGCCAAAUAUUAAGAAGCUCUUAAAGAAAGAAGAAGAAUCGACUCCAAAGGGAGGAAGCUGCACUUUUUUAUUCUAGUGGUACUUGUUGUAAUGAAAGAAAAGAAAAAGGAACAAGUGUAUCUCCUACCAUGAACACCAUGUAAUAUGAACCUUUAAGUUAGUACAAAAUUAUGGUUUAUUGUAAAAAGCACCACAGUGCUGGUUUCAUGUUAGAAAAAAAAAGCAAUAUGGAAAAAAUAAACAGCAUAACAAUAAAAAGAAUAAAGGCAGAAACUUCAUAAUCCACUCCAUAGUUCAUUAAUGAAAUAUUAUAAAGCAUGUUGUAUAAACCACCAGGAAGAUCAUCUUUCACCGUACUAAUACAAAGUAUCAAAAUAUCAUAUCAUAGUAUUCAACCAAACAAAAAAAGACCAUAACUGUCUAAACCCUUCAAAAGUAUGUAUUCAUUACAAAAGAGAAAUAUAUCCUUUUCGAGCUACAUGAUCAUCCUAAUAGUUAGACAAACCUUCAUUAGGUGAUACCCAAGAGUGUUGAUGCACAUAUGUCCUAGUGCAAGAAAAUCGACUGGAGAACAAAAGAUCACCAAAUCUUGUUGAAUGCCUUUGGAUCUAGUACAAAUGAAAACAAGAUAUUGGUCAAGUAUAUUUACAUUACAUUGCAUGUGAAUUGUAUAUGAACUGUAGUGGUAUGGUACCUUGAUUAGCAUUGGUAUUAGCACUCAAUUGUAAAUCUCCAAUCAGGAGAUUAUUAGUCUACUAAUUAAAUAGGACAUUAGUUUGUUAAAAUGUAGCUGUGAUUAAGCAAAUGUGUACUAAAAUGCAGCUGAAAUACUUACCAUUGGAGCUGUCCAAGUUUCAGUACUAUUUUGAGGCUGCAUGGCCUUUUAAGUCACCUGCCAUUAAUAAGAAAGACAUUAAUACAAGUUAAAAUUGAUGAAAUAAAAACAUACAUAAUGACUAAGAUAAUAUUAGGUCACCACAUCAAUUCAACUAAGUUUCUGCCAUCAGACAUGUUAAUACCAUUCCAAUUUCCAAAUCCAAAAAGUGAUGGAGAACAUCUUGAAAAUGCACCUCUCCUUCUUUUCCCUCUUUCCCCACCUCUAGAUGAUGAUUCCCCUCUCCUAUCAUUACCUCUUUCCCUUUCAUUACCCUUUCCAUUACCUUUUCCGUAACCACUGUCAUUAGCAUGAUUUACUCUUUGUGUUACUAGAUUAAUUGUUUUUAGUCUUCCACCAACAUUUCUUGGUGGGGCUAUACCUCCUCUUCUAUUUGUUUGAGUGGUAGAAUGCUGUCUAGUAGCAUCUUUACCUUACAGAAAUGACCAAACCAAUAAAUAAGCUAAUUAAAAAAAAUAUUAAACAUAAUUUAAGGCAUUAUACACAACCUAUCUUGGUUUCUUGCUUGUCUUCUCAUUGUGACCAGGCUUAUUACAGUUGCUAUAUUGGGCUAUAGUACCUUUUUUGGGUAUCACAUUACCAUUGACAAGCUCAUCUGCACCUUUUCUUUGUAACUUUCUUGGUCUGUUAGGUCUUCUCCUUACUUUUGGUGGCUGAAUAGGUAGUCCACCUGUUUGUAUCCAUAGACUAUCUUCUGGAAUAGGAACCACCAUACUCUUAUAAGCUCUAUUGUAGUACUCUACACUAUAGUAUGAAUGGACAUGGUCUGCUAGUUCUUAAUUAGAAUCUAUAAUUGCUAUACAUACAUGUACACAAGGAAUGCCAGUUAUAUUCCACUCUCUAUAAGUACAAGUUCUUGCAUUCAGGUUAAUAAUUUGUGCCCUACAUAGGAUGCGAUCUCCCAUAUGCCUUGACGAAAUUGAAUAGCUUCAUAUUCCAUUGUUUGUGCCUUAAUUUUCUCCACCUUGUCAUGAAUUCUUGAACAAAAUUUUCCCUUGACCUUAGAUAUGAAUUCUCUCUUUUCUUAGUAUCUACACAUGAUAAGCUUUCUGAUUGUUUCAAACAUAGAUAAAAAUUGGCUCCUCCCUUACCUCCUUAAUAUAUCGAUUAAAGGAUUUACUAACGUUGUUGUUCAAAAGAUCAUACUUUCAUCUUGGAUUGAACAUAUAUUUUUUAUUAGCAACUUGGAGUUCUCUCAUUUUUAUGUCCAACUAUCUGGCUCAUAUGCCCUUAAUAGUAGUCUACAUGAUAUUUUUUAGUGCCUUGUCCUUAAACUUGAGUUUGACAUUGGCAUAUAUAUGCCUAACACAGAACCCAUGUUCCACCCCAGGAAACAACACAUCAAUUGUCUCUACUAGACCUUACAAAAUAGCAACACCAUGGAUCAAAUUAGGUUUAAUUAUACGGCAGUAACAAACUAAUAUGAAUGUUGAAAAAAAUAAAUGGUAAGUUUAUCUUUUGUCUGUCAGAAAUUAAUACACAAUUCAUGACAGUGAACAAAUAUGAGUAGUCAGAAGUUCUAGAAACUAAUGCCAGCUUUCCUUACAUUCAGAUUCCACAUGUGUCAUUACCAUAAGAUACAUCUGAUUGUUUCCAUCUCUCUCAACAGCUUGCAUCAGAUGUCCCCCAAAUCUUCCUUUGAGAUGGCAAGCAUCUAAACCAACAACUAAUCUACAUCCAAUGGUAAAUCCAUUUUUUCGUGCCCUAAACAUAACAAACAUUCUCUAAAAUAAGGAUUGACAGAGACUGGAACAACUUCUAUUAUUACAUAAGCUGUAGAACUAGGGUUUUUCAGCAUAAUGAUUGUACAAUAAUCUCUGAGUCUAGAAUAUUAUUUUUUAUGAUUCCCUCACAUUUCAAAAAGAGCAUGGUUCUUGACUUUAUACACUUUCCAUCUAGAAACUCUUAAUUUAAAAUUUCUUUUAAUCGUUUUUCGAAAUUCCUUAAGUCUCUAGUCCGGAUCAUUAGCCAAUUCCUUUUUGAAGCAUUUGGCCAACCAUCUAGAAUAUGCACUAACAUUCUUAAAAGACUAAGGACACCUAUGAAGGUUGCUCAUUAUGCUCUUGACCUGCAAUGCUUUAGUCUACCUAUAAUAAAUUGCAUAUAUCCUCCAAACACAUUCUCUUUUACAUAUUGCAAUGAUUUUGUUACUAUCAUUUUUUUUCAACUUCAACUCAAAACCUUUAAGGAUGGAAUACAUCUAAAUUGCCUUCCUGAGCAUAUGUGUGGUUGUGAAAAUGAGGCCCACCUUAAUUCAUAUCACUCAAGAAAUUGUUCUCUAUUUUCAUCCUCAGAGGAUUGAAUAGCAGUUUUUAGUACUUUAGCAUUAAUAAUAUUUUCAUACUCCAAAAAUUUACCCUCUUUCCUAAUCUCAACAAAGGGUCUAUACUCAUCACUAAUUAAUUUAGCAUAUUGUUGGUACUCUCCUAAGUUAAUAUUAUUGUCUAUCUCACUAUUAUCAUCACCAAUAUCACAGCCAUCACUUAAUGUGUCCCCAUCUAAGAAAAAAUCAAAAUCUAAGUUAUAUUCAGAAGAUUGCUCACUUUUAGGUGUGUAUGAUUCAUCAAAUUCUAUUUCUGAUUCAUUUAUAUCGUGGUCAACCUCUAAUUCAAGAUUAUCAUUCACCCCACUAGCCCCUAAACCACCAUUACCAUUCUAAGCUCCCUUAUUAGCAUUCAUAUUGACAUUACCUACAGCUCCAUUAUCAUCUUACUUAUCCCCAUUAUCAUUGAUCUCUCUAACACGGAUACGAAUGUAUGAUUCAUCUGUAAACAUCCUAAAGAUUUCCAUAACUGAAGCUUUACUAUUUAAUAAGGCAAAUUCACAAUCUAGCAUUUUAUAACAAACCUUUAUAGGCAAUUGUAGUCCUUUCAACAUCCCCCAAAUCUCAAAUCUAGACAUAAAAUCUGGGUAAAUAUUAUUGAAAUAUUUUAUAUUCCCACCCACAUAUGUUAGUCUUGGAUUAUGUACAAAAUGAACCCUAUAAUGAAUUUCGAAUGAGAACUAGAGCUGUAAAUGAACCGAAUCAAACUGAAUAUCUCAUGUUUAACCUCUGUUCAUUAAACUACUCGAACAAGGCUCAUGUUUGUUUGAUAAUAAUCAAACUCCAAAUCUGUGUUCAUGUUCAACUCGUUAAAUAAAAUAUGUAUUCGAGUUCAAGAUCGAACUCGACUCGUUUAACACAAAUGAGCCGUUCCUGAAUAGGCUUGAGAUGUUCAAAUUCACACCCUUUGUCUCAUAAAAUAGAUACAAUUUGCUUGUCUAUAGUAUUAACUAUUAACUAUUAAUAAAUAACAACAACCUAAAUUCCACUAAUCCAAUCUUGUCAUGCUACAUAAAAUGAAAAUAUGACAUAUAAAUCAUCCUCAUAAACAACUAAAUCACUAAGUCAUUCUCAUGAAUCCCAUCAUUCAUUAACUACAUAACAAUAUAACAUAGAGACAAUUAGCAAAGUAACAAGACAAAGCAAUUUGUCUUCGGAAGACUAAAGUCCAAAUAUCAGUCAAGUACAAUUUAACAACUACUUCAUGUAGUUCAUCCAUCCACUUUAUGCAUCAGUUACAGCAAAGAAAUUUUGGUUGGGCCAACUUCUUUGUACUUGAAAACAAUCAGGUGGAUAGAUGCAUAAGUAUUUUUCCCCCCAAAACUCUACAAAGAAUACAAUGCAUUAGCCAUAAAAGUUGACCAAUCAACAAAGAGAAUGUAGAACAAUCUAGUAGUCUAUAUUGAUAGACUAAUCAAGCAAGUAGUCUAUUUUGAAAUAAUUAGUAUUCAAAAUAACUAUUUAAAGAAAACCACACAUCACAUAUGGAUAUAGAAGAAAUAAAAACAUUGAAAACUUCAAAAUAACCAAUCAAAAGUACUGAAACUUUAGAAUUUAAAAUGAGUACAGUGAACUGCAUGCUUUUAAUUUGGGAGUACAACUUCUUCAUAUGCCUUCAAGUCCUUAACACUCGACGAUUUCUACCAAAAAAAAUUAAAAUUAUAUAAAGAUGGUGGAUUUAUAAAAAUUAGAGAAACAAGGAAACAUAACAUAUAUGACAUAUUACCUUUGAAUAACUUCUUGUAAGUCCAUGUAAAUUUCAAACCCAAUUAUUAGCGCAAAGUAACAUCUGGACUAUGUCAAUGGACAUGAAAGAACAACGAUCAUCAAUGACUCUACCAUUAGCACUAAAAGUAGAUUCUGAAACCACAACAUUUCUGGAAUAGAUAAUAUGUCAACAGCUAGCUUUAAUAACACUCGAAAUCUCUGUCUUUCGUCUCUUCACCAACUCAAGACAUCUAGAUUUACACUUGAAGCACUAUUGUAUCUCUUUUUACUCAAAUAAAUAUUUAAAUUUGAUUAUUUUGGUGAUAUUUUUUCUUUGCUACUCACAUGCAUUUCAAAUUUAACUUUGUCAGUUAACACAUUGUUUCCAAUUUUUUCUACCGCCAUAGAACUGAAACUAAAAGCAUAACUAUUUUUAGUUUUUCUGUGUUUUGGUAGAAGCACUUUUUUAACAAAAGAUGAAGCGAUCGAAGAAGCAUACUCAUUAUAAAGAUCAUGAAAACCUCUUUUAUUUUAGCAAUGUCUCUAAGACCUACUUCAUUACUAUAAAUAAUUGGAAAAGCAUAGUCAAUGAGUACAACUUUAUAUAUUGGAUCUAAAAUAACACUUAAAAAAAAAGUAGAAUAUUACUUUCACCCCAAUAUUUGUCCAAUUUUGAAGCCAUGCUUGCAACCAUGGCUCUAAUGUGGUUAGAAGGAUUCACAAAUUUUUUAUUUAGAAACUCCUUAAUUCCAUAAAGUUCUGGUAGGAAAAUAUUGACAGUUGAAUAUUUACUUCCAGAAAUCAUCCUAGUUAUUUCAUGAAAAUAUCAAAAAAUUGACACACUUCUUCAACUUUCAUCCAAUCAUAUUAACUAAGAACAUAAUGAAAGUCCAGAUCAAUAUCUGUAUAUCUCCAAAACACAUAUUUAAAUUCUAUAACUGAAACCAAUAUCAAACAUGUCCCAUUCCAACGUGUGGGACAAAUCUUGAAUCAAUUUUUUGGAGACAAAUAAAGCUAUUUUUUUUUAUCUUGUUGAAUUCAUUGAGGUGAGACUCUGAAUGUUUAGGUACUCAAUCCCCUCUCCAACAGUAUCAAUCGUUUUUCCUGUUUGACUAAGACAAUCUUGUACCAAAAGAUUAAGUAUAUAUACACAUCAAUGAACAUACAAGUGUUUUCCCUCAACAUUUAAUUGUUUUCUCAACGAAAAGUCUUCUUUUGACCUCCAAACACACACAUCAUUAUACAAAGCAUUAUCCAUGGUAAUGUUACAAAUUUUAUUCUUAAUGCCCUAUUGAAUAAAACACUUGUUAAGAGGAUCAAUUAUAAUAACUCCAAUAUAUGGGAAAAAUUCAAUACAUGCUUUUACCGCACCCAAUUCAAAUCAAUAAAGUAUCCAAUUACGAUCAUAUAUACUGAAUUUUUUAGGUUGAUUUCCAUAAAUCUAUUGUGAUCCCCUUUAGUAAUGAUAUCAACUUCUUCUUUUCCAAUUCAUGAGUAGAAAUGCAGUCUUUCUUCAUAGUUUGUCUACUAAUUUUUAUAUAAUAUGGAGAAGCAACUUUCAUGAACUUGUUAAAAUUUCAUGAUCCAAGGUUGUAAAGGGACAUUCAUAUGCCAAAAUAAUAUGAGAUGUAAGUUCCCAUACCUUAACAUAAUCAUAUCUAAAGUUUGUAAUUGAAAUCAUGCCAUCCAAUGGUGUUUUUGCUGUGAAAGAUAGAACUUUUUGUUGCAUCCUCUUUUUUCCCUCAUCUUCCAGCUUCUUUUGUAGACAAUUCUUCAAAUGCCUAUUGUAAGUAUUUGUGGUACCACUAGUAUUCAUCUUCCAUGCCUUUUUGCAAUGCUUACAUAUUACUUUAAUUCAUCCAUCAGUUUGAGCUUCUCAAUCCAUGUCAUGCCAUAUUUUAUAUUUCAAUGCUCUAGUCUUCUUUUGAAAUGGUUUAGUCAUUUUUUCUUUAUUUUCAGCAAGUAUUUGAAUUUCAACAACUUCAUGCAUCUCAUCACCAACGACAAGCAUCAUACCUUUAUUACUAGGAUCCAUACUAGGACUUGUGGAAGCGCCUUGAUGUGAACUAUAAGGGGAACUUGACGUACCCUACUUGCAAUAGGAAAAGGAAUAAUUAGAAAACUGAAACUACUAAUCAAUGAAAGAUUAAACAAACUAUAUUAGUAUAGCUAAACAAAAAUGAGUAAAUCUUAUAUACACUGAUAGUGUAUACACUAUCACGAUUGGAUGCACGACAUAUAUGCAAAAUUUGAGUUUCAAAUUCAAAUUCGGAUUAUUUAUCAUACAUCUAACGGUGAAAGUGUAUACACUAUUAGUGUAUAAAAGAUUAAUCCAACAAAAAUAUGUACUAUUUACUAACAAAUUAACAAAGAUGCUAUUAACUGAUAAAUAAUAAUGAAUUCGAUAUCUUCUAGCACAACACAAAGAAUUAAACUAUUAAUCACUCCAGAAACUAAAGUUUCAACUUAAAGAUAAAAAUACAUAAUUGAGCUCUCAUUCUAAAGUUCAAGAAAAUACAAAUAAAAAUAUCCACUUACUUGUAUUUUUAACAAAAACCACCUGAGGUCGAAAAUCAGAAGACAUUUGAAUAGGAAAUAACAUAAAUAGUCAACACGUGAGACGUGGUUAGAUCUUCCUCUGAUAAAUGAGACUUUACUAGAUUUUCAGUGUCAAACCUUACUAAACUUUAUAUUUAGGUCCUUACCUAUUAUGAUAUCCCGAAAUUGACUAGAUUUUCACUAUCAAACCUUACUAGACUUUGUAUUUAGGUUCGUCUUCAAUGAAGUUACAAAUUAAUGACAUGAGUUUAUAGGCAACUUGAAUUGCAUGUCUAUCUAACUUAAAAUUUUAAAUUUUCGAAAAUUCUAACAAAAUAGGCAACAAGAAGAAAAUCAUAAUGGGCAAAAGAAUUUACAAGAUUUUUCUGUGGUUCUUAAGCUCAACAAUGAGAAUAAUUUAGUUGUUACCAGCAUCAUAGAGGAUCCAGGAUUUAGUUCUUGAAGUCAAAAGACAUUUGAGAAGAAAAUAACAUAAAUAGUCAAUAUCUAGUUUAGAAAGCAUCCCUAAAAUUAAGACUGGAAAAUCUAAAAUUCAAUGAAUUAGAGCUAAACAAGAUCAAAGUUUUAAGCAAAUAAAAUUAACACACCUUGGAGAGAUAGUCCUAAGCACCUCAGACUCUCAGUGAUGACACUGGUGGCAAUAAGGAUCAUGGCCAUUUGUAGAAGACUAAAAGGAGAAGGUUUGGUGAUGUGAAAUUGAAAGAGAAAUUUAGGAAGGUUUGGUGGUGACGAGACAAUGGUGGUGACGAACUUGACAGUGGUUGAUGGGCAUGUGGUAGUGGUGGCAAGCAGCGUCGGCAAUUAGGAAGAAGUGAAGAUCAGAAACUUUCAACUUUGUGAAGUUGGACUAUACGAGCUAAUAAAGGCUAGAGAAAAGUGGAACAACUGGAAUAGGAUAGGAAUUAGGAUAAAAAUUGUAACAAUACUAACCCUAAAUUUUAUGAAAUGACCAUUAAGCCCAUGUUCACAAACGAUCGUUUAAUCUCGCGAACACGCUCGUGUUCAUUCGAUUACUUAUCAAGUCAAAAUAUUUGUUCAUACUCGAGUCAUAUACAAUUUUGAACGAAUCCUUAUCGAACAUGAACAAGUCUAAGCGAGUCGAGCUAACGAAUAGCUCGGUUUGUUUAACAACUUUAAUGAGAACAUAUCUUUCAACUGCAAUGACCACACUGGUAUGAGACAACAAUAUAAUAAUACAUGUGAGGGACCAUAAAAACACCAUUACUACUUAGUUAACAUAUAGUACUCGGUAAAAUUAGUUUAAAAAUGACCCAUGUUCAACAUAAUAUAAUCUUGUAAAGAAACCUAUGAACAACCAAAUUAUUGCAUGAAAAUGACAAAAAACAAAAAAUGGUCACAAUCAGCCCGGCAGCAGACCAACAUAAGGACCACAUGCAUAAUAUAUUCCACAACGACCAUAGAAAUACACAUUCUAAAACCCAAACUACAAGUACGAACAAGCAGAUCCACACAAAAAGGUAAAAAGUUGAUUAAAGAAAGAAAAAGUAAGGCUUUGCAUAUUACCUGAUUUGCUGAAUUUCUAUAGUGAUUAAGAUUCCACCAUGAUUUAGAUUCUUCAAGGUGUCAUUUUCUCACUUUUGGUGUGCCUCUAUUGUGAUUCCCCUUUGCUUCUUCAUCGAUCGUAAGAAAAAAGCAAAAAUUUUUGCAAACUCAAGAAUGGAGGUUAUGAAGAACUAGUUCUCUCUUUCUUUUACCCUAAUUCUAAACAAAUAUCCUUUUGCAUCUUUCUGCUCCACACGUCACAAUGGGUACCCACCAAAAAUGUGUUUUUGUCCGUUCAAUUAUUACUUGAGGAUACAGUUGUCAUUUCAGUGGUAACGUAUCAGUAGAGUUAGAGUGCAAAGUGCCUAUAAACAUAUUUUGAAGUGUAUUGUGCAACAGCUAUAAAAGUUCAUAGGGACUUUUUGCAUUUAGUCCUUUCUCUUGCUUUUGGAACAGACCCAAAUUUCAAGGUUAGUGAUGCCAUUCUUACAUCCAUUCAACCCAUAUGGGGAGAAAAACUAAUUCUCCAUAGAAGAUAUAACCACAAAAGCUAAUCCUCCAUAGAAGAUAUCUAUGACCAAUAUUGUAGUACUUUUUGUGAUAUAAUAUACAUGAGAAAAAAGAUCGGUUGGGGAUAUAAAAGGUGUUUAAAAAAAUGUGUUUAUGAUAUAAGUAAAAAAAUUUUUGCAAAUAAGGCCCCGUUUGGAAGGUGAGUUUUUUGAGUGUUUGUAUAAAACUUUAUUGUAAAUCACUGUAGAAGUUGUAGAAAAACUUUUGUGAGAUGAAAAAACUUUUUUUCCUUUUCCUUUUCUUUCUUUCUUUUUCUUUUUACUCUUUUUUCUUUCUUUCUUUUUUCUUUUCCUUCCUCCCUUUCCUUUCCCCUUUCCCUCCCCUCUGCCCGCCACCCCUUUCCUCCCCUCUCCCCCACCACCCCUCUGCCUCACCUGCUGCAGCCUUAGUGGAACUGCAACUCCAGCUUUUCCGAUUUCCAAAACUACUACUACUACUACUAGUACUACUACGGAAAUCACUGGGCUCGUGGACAGAAACAGGUUUGAUGGAGCCGCUGCUCCUUUUCUUUUCCUCAUCAUUUGGAGAUGGCAGCUUUAUAGCUGCGGAGCUGCUCCUAUUGUUGCUGUUCAUCUUGAACUUCUUCUUUAUCCUUUCCUCCCUCUCCCCAUCCCCCUUCCCUCGCCCGAAGCAGCAACAGGAAAAUUUUUUUUUCCAAUUUUCCUUCUCUCCUUCUCCUCCCCUUCCCCCACCACCCUCACCCUCCCCCGGUGUGAUCUGGUCUCGCGACCAGAUCGGCUAGAGGGGAAGGGGAAGGGUGGUGGGGAAGGAGAGGGGGAGAGAGAGAGGGAGAAAAAAAAAGAGAGGGGAUCAAAAUCGGACAAAGGGGGAGGAUGGCAGGGGAGGAAGAGGGGGAGAGGGAGGGAGAAAAAAAAAAGAAGAUCGGCACCGGAAGAGGUGAUGGGCGCCGGAACCGGUUGCGGAGGUGGUGACCGGCAACGGAGGUGGUGUUGGGUUGGGGUGGGGGGAGAGAAGAAGAAAGAAAAGGGAAAGGGAUUUUUUUUAGUGUUUUAGAUAAUUUUAAAGUAUGUAGGUUAAAAAUUUUGAUAAGUUUUGGGGUUCCUGUAGUAAAAGUUGUUAAAAAACUAGUAUAAUACAAACUUGGCUUAAAACCAAGGUUCCAAACAGCCCCCUGACAUACAAACAAACCAAGUAUUUGUCUUCACUUUUAUACUAAUUGAGAAAAAAAAGAACAAACUUUACUUUGCAUCCUCGAACUUGUAUCAUUUUCUCAUCUUACACCCUAAACUUCAAUUUUAAAAAACCGUGUACUCUAAAUUCUCAAUUUUGGACAUUUUAUACCUUGAACUCUCAAGUUUGUUCUAUUUAAAACCAGUUAGCAGCAAUUUUUGCAAAAUUAAUCACAUAGAGGUUCCAAUAAAUCAAUAAUAAUGUGCUGAAAGUAAUCAAAAGGUGCUAUGAUAUGAUAACAAAAAUAAAAUAAUAUAUUAUCAUUAAUUUGCACCAUCCUUCAUCUCGUUAAUUUUGCUAACAAUAUUAGUAUUGAGACCAUAUGAAUAAAUGAUAAUAUGCUAAAAAUAGUUCAAAGAGUUAAACAAUCGUAGUUGGAACAAAACGAUACAUUAUUAUUAAAUUUCAUUGCCCUUUAUCACGUUAAUUUUGUGAAUGUAAUCAUUGAUUGGAUUUAAAUGCGACAAAUUUAAGAAUUUAGGGUGCAAAAUAUCUAAAAUUAAAGUUUAGGAUGUAAAGUGAGAAAGUGAUACAAGUUCAAGGGAGCAAAAUAGAAUUAAUCCAAAAAAGGAAAAAACAAAGAUUUUAAAGCUACUUCAUAGUUUGCUUUGUAUUGAAUUACCAAAAACAUUAAACUGAAGAUAGAUUUGAUAAUGUUUUACUCCCUCGAACCGGUCUUCUUAAUUGGAGGAGGGAUGAGUCAAGUGAUUCGAAUGACGGGAGUGUAAGUAAUAGCUUUAGGUUCGAACUUUUUCGCUUAAACUAAAUGAAUAAAUAAAUAAAUAGAACCUCCUUAAUUUUACUUUCCUCACUCAACCCUAUUAACAGAAACUUUUAAUCCCCUUCAAAGAUUACAUCAACAUUUACAAAUACGAAAGAUGACAUGCAUUUGUUUUGGACACAAAUGGCCUUUAUAGAAUUUCGCAUUUGAUAUCUUAUCUUAUUUUAUUUCUAGUCACUUGCCCUAUCAUUUUGAUUAUUUAUAACUUUUAACUAUAUGAAUAUUUUUAGAAUUGUUGCAUUUUCAUUUUGAAAAAUAUUAUUUGCACUCCAAUUUUUGUUAAUCAUACUCUCAUUAUCAUUUUAAUCGUAUAGUUUUUAUUUAUUACAUUAUAUAAUAAAAUAAAUAGUGAGAGUGCAAAUGACAAAAAAUGAAAUGCAAAUAACAUUUUAUUUUAUUUUUUUACAAUUUAUGUACUAUUUUCGAGGAUAUUAUACUUGACAAUGACAAUAACGUCCACUUCUUAAAUUUUACAGCAACAAACUUCCAUUCUUCGAAGAUAUUUCCUCUUUGGAGUGCUUCAAAGUUUCCACACACACAUUCAAGGACAUCGGUAAGCAGAUAAUUCCCAGUUUCCCACCUUUAAAAUUUCUACUACUUAUCAGCUCGUUCUUAAGCAAUUCAACAAAUAUAUAAUAGUCAUGCAAGUUAGUAUAUUUUUGCUAUGAUUUCCCCUGCAUUUCACCACUCUUAUGUUUCUUGAAUUUCGUCUCAUAAUUCCUGUAUGGCUGUGAUUUUGGUCUGCUCCUCAACAAUUUGUUGUAGUAACUUCAGUUGCACAGGUGCAACUGAGGCUAUACCAACUGUUACCAAACCAUACGGUUUAAGUUACAAUGUGCCUUUAGGAGGGACAAAGAUUGGAACUUCGAGACUUUUCCCAUGUGGGUCUAUGUUGAGGUGGAAGAAAAUCAUGAAAAAGCAAGUGGAUUUUGCUGGGUUUGGAAUGAAAAGUUCAUAUGAUGUUGUCGUUGUCAAUGGAAAACCCAAAAAGAGUAUGUCUCCUGAGGAAGUUUUGGCGGUUUUGAAGUCAAAAUCUGACCCAAAUCAAGCCUUUUCUUUCUUCAAAUCCGUUGCUGAAUUGCCUACUGUAGUUCACAAUACAGAGACAUGCAAUUACAUGCUCGAGCUUUUGAGGGUACAUAAAAGGAUAAAUGACAUGGCUGUGGUGUUUGAUUUGAUGCAAAAGCGGAUAAUAUAUAGGAGUUUGAAUACCUACUUGACUAUAUUUAGAAGUCUUAACAUAAUUGGAGGGAUUCGGGAAGUAGUGGUAGCUAUUGAGAGCAUGCGAGAAGCAGGGUUUGUGUUGAAUGCCUACUCGUAUAAUGGAUUGAUACAUUUGGUUCUUAAAGCUGGGUUUUGGAGGGAAGCUUUAUGGGUAUAUAGAAGGAUGGUCUCAGAAGGGCUUAAGCCUAGUCUUAAAACCUACUCAGCACUGAUGGUGGCAUGUGGGAAGCGAAGGGAUACACAAACAGUCAUGAGGUUGUUGGAUGAGAUGGAGAGCUUAAAAUUGAGACCCAAUGUUUAUACUUUCACCAUUUGUAUUAGGGCACUGGGAAGGGCAGGUAAGAUCAAUGAGGCAUAUGGUAUUCUUACAAAAAUGGAUAAGGAGGGUUGUAUGCCUGAUGUAGUGACUUACACAGUUCUUAUUGAUGCUCUUUGUGAUGCUGGAAAGCUUGACAUUGCAAAAGAAGUUUUUGCAAAGAUGAAAUGUGGAAGGCAAAAACCUGAUCAUGUAACUUACAUCACAUUGCUGGAAAAAUUUGCUGAUCAUGCAGACCUGGAAUCUGUUAGGGAAUAUCUGUGUAAAAUGGAAGCUGAUGGUUAUAAAGGGGAUGUUGUUACUUUCACGAUACUUAUUGAUGCCUUGUGCAAAGUGGGAAAUGUUGAUGAAGCAUUUGCCACUUUGGAAACCAUGAAGGAGAAAGGACUAGCCCCUAAUCUACACACUUACAAUACCUUGAUUGGUGGCCUUCUGAGAGAAAAUAGGUCUGAUCAGGCAUUUGAGCUAUUUGGUAGCUUGGAAUCAUUAGGCGUGCAGCAUACUGCAUUCACAUAUAUCCUGUUCAUUGACCACUAUGCAAAAUUAGGUCAAACUGACAAGGCUCUUGAAACUUUUGAGAAGAUGAAAGCUCAUGGAAUUGCUCCAAAUGUUGUCGCUUUCAAUGCAUCUCUGUAUGGCCUUGCAGAAUUGGGUCGGCUUAAGGAGGCAAAAGAUACUUUUAAUGGAAUGAAAAGGAGUGGACUUGUACCUGAUUCCAUCACGUAUAACAUGAUGAUAAAGUGCUUUGCCAAUGCAGGAAAAGUUGAUGAGGCUGUUCAGUUACUGAAUGAGAUGAUUGAGACUGGCUGUGAUCCAGAUGUUAUCAUUGUCAAUUCUUUAAUUGACAUGCUUUACAAGGCUGAUCGUCCAGAUGAGGCGUGGGCAAUGUUCAGACAGCUUGUUCCUUCAGUUGUCACGUACAACACUUUGUUGGCUGGACUGAGAAAGGAGGGCAAGCAUAUAGCAGCUUUUCAGUUAUUCGACAGCAUGAGUGCACGUGGGUGUCCUCCCAAUACAAUAACAUUCAAUACUGUUUUGGAUUGUCAUUGCAAGAAUAAUGAGGUUGACUCAGCUGUGAAGAUAGUUUAUCAAAUGACAGAAGUUAAAUGCUAUCCUGAUGUUUUUACGUACAACACAAUCAUUUCUGGGUUAAUUAAAGAAAACAGGUUGAGGGAAGCAUUCUGGUUCUACCAUCAAAUGAGAAAAGUGUUGUACCCUGACUCUGUAACUUUGUGCACUCUCCUUCCUGGUAUCAUGAAAGAGGGUUUGAUUGAUGAUGCUUUUCACAUUGUCAAGGAUUUUGCUCACCAAGUUGAAAGUACGUUAGACAGAUCUUUCUGGGAAAAUCUAAUGGAAGGAACUAUUUGUGAAGCUGAAUUGCAUUACUGCAUUUCAUUUAUGGAAAAGUUACUUUCUGAUUGUCUGUGCAAAAAUGAAUCGAUCAUGAUACCUAUUAUUAAAUUUCAGUGCAAGCAAAAGAAAGUCCUUGAUGCUCAUAAAUUGUUUUUGAAAGUCAAAAAGUCAUUUGGGAUAUUACCGACACUAGAAAUACAUUGUGUCCUAAUUGAUGGCUUCUUGAAUUUCAUCAUAAAGAAUUGGCUUGGGAACUUUUCAUGGACAUGAAAAAGGCUGGUUGUGCUCCUGAUGUUUCCAUAUACAAUUUGUUGCUUGAUUAUCUUGCGAAGUCAGGAAUGAUUGAUGAACUUUUUGAAUUGUAUGAAGAGAUGCAUCAUAGAGGAUGUACGCCUGAUACCGUAACGCACAACAUACUCAUCUCUGGUCUUGUUAAGGCUGGUGACGUGUACAAGGCCAUAGAUUUAUACUAUGAUAUGGUAAGUGGAGGCUUUUCUCCCACUCCCUGCACAUAUGGUCCUCUUCUAGAUGGUCUUCUCAAACUUGAAGAUUUGGAUGGAGCAAAGAAAUUGCUUGAGGAAAUGAUUGAUUAUGGAUGUCUACCUAACUCUGCUAUAUACAACAUCCUUAUCAAUGGAUUUGGUAAAGCAGGGGAUGUGGAAAAUGCAAUUUCAUAUUUCAAUAGAAUGCUUAGGGAGGGAAUAAGACCUGACUUGAAAUCUUACACCAUUCUUGUUGAUUGUCUUUGCAUAGCUGGAAAGGUGGAAGAUGCAAUUUACUAUUUUGAGGAGUUAAAGUCAUCUGGCCUUGAUCCCGAUUUGGUUUCUUAUAACCUUAUGAUUAACGGACUUGGAAGAUGGGGAAAAAUUCAUGAAGCUUUGGCUCUUUUUAGUGAGAUGCGCAGCAGAGGAAUUUCUCCUAACCUAUAUACCUACAAUUCUCUAAUUCUCAAUCUUGGAGUUCUGGGAAUGUUGGAGGAAGCAGGAAAGAUGUAUGAAGAACUAAAGGUAGCAGGUCUUGAACCGAAUGUUUUCACUUACAAUGCUCUCAUUAGAGGGUAUAGCAUCUCUGGGAACCCUGAUGGAGCAUAUGAAGUCUUUGAGAAGAUGAUGGUUGGGGGAUGUAGCCCUAACAGCGGGACAUUUGCUCAGCUACCUAACUAAGUCCAGAUUACAUGCUUAUAGGCGAUGCUUAUGUAGCUUACUUUUCAUCUCCAUCCCUGGGGACACAGCUGCAAGGUAUUGCGGCUCCUUUGAGUCUCUUUACAUCGUGGCAACCUUUGAUCAGUACACCAACAAGGAAACAAUUAAAAGGACAUUACUUCUUGUGUUCUGAUUGAAUGUAUAGAUAUGUGUACUCUACUUAAGUGAUGUAGUUUGCUAGGUUGACUUCAUCUCAUUUAAAGUUUGUUUUAUCUGUAUACUUGUGUUAUCGAUGCAGGAUUUGAAGAGUAUAUUUGUACAGCUUCUUCCUGGUACAGGAUUUGAAGAGUAUACUUGUACAGGAUUUGAAGAGUAAUUACUGGUUACAAGGGUGUUAUGAUUUCAUCCUGUUGCAGUCAAAUCAUACAGCUUCGUUCUGGCUCUAUUUGUUGAUUCAGCUACAAUGCCUUGAAAGGUUCUACUGCACAGUCAUAACUAUAAAGUUGAUGUACAUUUUGAUGGUUUCUGUCCAUUAUGAAUAACUGAUCCUGUAAAAUAUACACCUUAAUUCUCUGAUGUAAUAUGCAAAAACUGUUUUCUUGUCUAUCUGCAUUUUCAGUCUUAUUUCUAGUAGAUGUACUGGGUUCUGGUUCUUUGUGUCAUAAUCUUCAUAGCCUGAAGAUAUUUGUCCCAGUGAAGUGUGUCCUUGGGCUUUGGUUGAAUAGUGAUAUAGAUCUACACUUGGCUCAUAUUAGCCACUGGAAAAUGAUAGUCAUGAUUUUAAAAAUUAUAGUUUUGUUGCUCAGACUUACAAUCGCUUAAGAAGGUUUUCUCUGCUUUAAAUUUCUUUUGUUGCCCAAAAUUUUUUGCCUAAACUUUUGUUGCCUAAAAUAAUUAAGCAAUUCAUCAAAACGAGAACCCAUGUGGAUCUGAACAAGACUUGCAGACCAAUAACCUAAAUCCAGAAGUUCUUGAAAGAAAAAGAAAAUAAAAUGCGCGUAUAUGUGCUGUCAAGAGUCCUAUGCCAAUCUCUGGUUCCAUUAGAAUAGGCCAGAUAUUUAGAUGUACUUUGUAGUUUGACUUUUCUUCUAUUCUGCCAAUUGAUACGCCAAUACUUCGAGCAUGACAUGAUAUUAUUGUAUUUAUCUGUUGCUUUCAUGAUACAGCUAUUAGCUUGAUGGGACAAAAUGCAGGUAUAAUUUUAUCGCUGCCUGAAAAUAUGAAGAUAGUAAAAUCAUGUUCAAGUAACCUAAAUCACAUGCUCCAGUCGGUGUAUAAUCACAGAGGAAAAUGCACAGUUUUUCACAACCCAAAUCUGUAAUUGUGAUUCAGCAAGAUGAAGUGAAGAAACCAGAACAAAAAUUGAGCUUCUAAGCUCAGUUUCUAUACUUAUAAUAGACGUGGACUCUAUUGGCUUGCUGAAGUGGCAGGAGGGCAACAAAAAAUGGUCACUCGUUCACCCUUCUAUAUGAGUAUAUACUGAAAGCAGAUCAUAUUAAACACACAUUGUUUAUUCUAUUCUCUAUAUUGGGACCCUUUUUCUCAGUGUUGGAACUUCAAAUCCAUAUUUAUGUGUCAGCAUAGAAGGGGCAGGGAGGGAAAUAACACAUUCAGAAUGAUUUCCAUUUUCUGUUGUAUUAUCCUGUCUUCCUGGAAUCUAUGAAGUAUCUUAACGUCAAUAUUUGUUGGCUAAUUUCAUCUGCACAUGUAAUUGAGCUUUUUAUUCAGUUCUCUGCUACUGCUGUACUUAUAGUCUCUUAUUGUUAGUCAAUUUCGUUCAUGCCAUUUACAAGUAACAUACAAAAGUUGACUGAAGAAUGUCUGCUUUCCAGUCCUUGAAAGACUUGGUAGUACUGGCUCAGAUUUCUUUUUCUUCAGUACAUUUUAGCAGGAUACCUGUCGCAUGUAUCGAGUUCUGACAAAGCUGUGGAGACUACUGAUGUCAAAGAUCUCUUCACAGCUCUGACUUGUUAGUUGCGGUUGUGUCUUUUUUCCUUUCUGCUUCUUCCAUGACCAAAGGAAAGCUUGUAAAGGUUGCCGAGAGAGUAUCCUUACCUCUCUCGACUUCAUACAUCUGUAGUCUGGACUUGCUUUCCAGAUUACCAACCUACUUUACCCGUCAUAUAUGGAAACCAACAAUUGCUUUCUAAGUUGAGAGAUGCUUGAUCACUUGGGAAGGAGCUCAAAAAGGCAUAUGAAAGAGAGAGAGAAAGGGCGGAUCUUGUUAUCAUUUCUCUGUGACUUGUAGCAACUUUUUGCUUUGUUAAGGUUAGUGAUGCCCUUUUCAUGUAGGACUGCAUCUUCUUUGGAUGAAUCCAUAUUCAAAACUUCAAGUCCUCGUAAUGAAGAAAUAUUAUUGCAUGUAAUUUGAACUUGGAUUUCCUGAAUGAAGAAUGCAAAGCAAAAGAGAAGGUGGAGGGGAAAUGAUUUCGUUUACAUUGUUUUAUUCUAAAACAUAAGUUCAAGUUUCAGUCAUUUCAAGUUGAGGUAAAAUCCAAGAUAACCAAAAGAUGAUUGAUGUCAGGAUUUAUUCGUUAACUUUUUCAUUUUGCUUAGGAUACGUACUCCCUGAAACUUAUUUUAGCUUAUGAUGCAUAAUCCCUGAAAACCAACAUAAGAAAAUUUUUUUACCUCAGAUCCCAUGUUCAUUUCCAACCAGAAAUCUGUAGAAUUCAUAAUUUCAAACAAGUAUUUAUUCUGCUCGAAGGACUGCAUGGUGACUAACUUUUGCCUUCAAAAAAGAACAUGGAAAUAUUCAAGAAGUUAAUUCUGGUAAGGAGAAAAGGGUUGAGGAGAACUACGUAUUAUCAUUGUAAAUUGCUUUUAUUCUUUUGGUGUGGGAGAGGGGGGGGGGGGGUGGGGGAGGGUUUCCCAUCUUUCCUUCCAAAAAAUGGCAUGACUUUCGCGAUGUUAAUAAGAAGUUCAAAAAUUAAAACCUGCAAAGAUCCCCUCCUAGCAGCUAUCUCUUGAUUCUCCACAUAACAUCUUACAGGUAUCGAAUUAAAUCUUACAUCUGCUAGGAGGAAAGAGACACACACAUAGCGCCAAUUGAAUCAAUGCACUUGAAAGCAUUACAAUGUAGCUCGCAUAAGCUUUUUCAUCUCAUUAAGAAGUAUACCAUCUGAAAAAUAUUUAGGUAAAAAUUACUACAUACUAAUGGCUGGUCAAGCUGAACUCUGUAUAGUCAUGUAUUGCUACAAGAAACAGAUCUAGAGCCAUGAGCAAGAAGCGAUGGCAGUGCCUAAACUGUGAUGACUUUCAUUCGCUUGAUGUGUGGAAGUGUGGAUGUGGAUAUCCA
RNAcentral lists this long non-coding RNA (39157 nucleotides) under Coffea arabica (coffee). Its description in RNAcentral is "long non-coding RNA (CARA_LNC008216)". Lineage: Eukaryota; Viridiplantae; Streptophyta; Magnoliopsida; Gentianales; Rubiaceae. The record is from RNAcentral.